CUCAGAUAGAUCAAACAAGUCCAAAUUCUAAUAAUGUAAUUAGUCAAUGAACAAUAAUUGUCUUGCGCCGACAAACAGUAUUUUUAGACCAAAGAGGAAAAGACUUUAUCAGAGUAGAAAAAACUCUAUCAAAAUACUAUUUGAAAUCUAGUAGCUACUACAUAGAAAAUCCACUGAAUAAAAUCGAAUGGAAACGACUAGUAGGAAUAUAGAAAAAGGAAUAGUGGAAUGAAUGAAUGUCAUAAUGAAAAAAAAAAAAAAACAUCACUUAAAUACAUAGUCUUAGAGAUACAGAACAAUCCAUUAAAUGAAGCUCACAUUAUAUGGAAAAGUGCAAAAAAACAAUAGUAAAGAUGUAAAGGCAGGAGAAAUAAAAGCAAGAAUAAGUACUCAAACGUGCAUAUUCCAAGUCAAAAGAGCUAAGUUCGAUCCGAAAGCUAACCCGAUGUGUACAAUCUGUGAACAGGAAAAUGAAGAUCUAGAACAUUUUAUUCUACACUGAAAAGAAUUAGAGCAAAUAAGAUCUAAAUACUGCUCAAAAAUAGAACAGACAAUGGAUGAAAUUGAUACCUCAACAUACAUGGAGAUCAUACAACAAGGAAAUUUACUGCAGCUCAUAAUGGACUGUACUAGCAUGGACAUUAACUGUUACUCAACUGUGUAUGAAAACAUUGAAACUCUGGCUAGAAAUAUGUGUUAUGAGAUGCACUUGCUGCACACAAAAAGGAUAACAAAAACUUGAUCACAAGUAGACAUAGUUGCUACAACUAUACCCUUUGGGUAGUGCUCCAAAAUUAAUGGAGGAAUAUACAAGAAACUGAACUGAACUGUACCAGAAGUUGGAUUUUAAGAGGAGCGAAAGAUGGCGUCCAUAAAAUUUACGAAGGGAUGAUUUCAACUUCACCAUUUGGAACACUUAGUUUAAUAGCAUUUUUUGUUUAAAUAUUAACGUGAAAUAAAAAAAUGUAUUUAUUAAUGGCCGUGAACACUUAUUGAGAAUUAACCAGAGAAACCAACCGAAUUCACUGAAAUUUUAUAAACUGAUAAACAGUAAAAAUAAUCUAUAUGAUCUAAACAACAUGUGUUUAUUCAUAAAGUUAAUUAAUAUUGAAUAUAGGCUCUUCAAACCAUUAAAUCUUUUUUAGCAACCAG
This is a long non-coding RNA of Mytilus trossulus (common blue mussel), 1152 nucleotides long. RefSeq lists it as uncharacterized. Lineage: Eukaryota; Metazoa; Mollusca; Bivalvia; Mytilida; Mytilidae. The transcript has 2 exons. The record is from RefSeq and is a predicted model, not a curated record.